Molecule: long non-coding RNA, 358 nt
Organism: Acinonyx jubatus (cheetah)
Lineage: Eukaryota; Metazoa; Chordata; Mammalia; Carnivora; Felidae
Exons: 3
Source: RefSeq, a predicted model, not a curated record
CUGUUAGAGCUGGAAAUUGUCCUGGGGAGGGGUGGCCCAGAUGGCUACUCUCUGCUCAAACCUGUGCCUGUCCUUCUGUACUGUGGAGUCAACUGAAGCAGCCACGUGAGGGAGAAAGAAACGGAUUACUUUAAGCCACGGAAGCUUGGGAGGUGUUGUUGACAUCGCGGAAGGAAGUGUCAACGUAACCAACACAGUAAAGUUGGGAGCAGGUGGUGAGAGCGGCCGUCCAGGGCCCUGAAGUUCCAGAGGCUGGGAAGUCCAAGAUCAAGGCCCUGGCAGAUUUGGUGUCUGAUGAGAGCCCCUUCUUUGGUUCACCUGGUAGAAGGGACAAGACAUCUCUUUGGACUCCCUUUUA